UUACAUGAUCAAGCUACAAAGGGCAUAUGGUGAAUGCCUUGGCACCAGUAGCCGAUGAAGGACG
This 64-nucleotide ribosomal RNA is filed under the name Clostridium tetani. RNAcentral's name for it is "partial 23S ribosomal RNA". Lineage: Bacteria; Bacillati; Bacillota; Clostridia; Eubacteriales; Clostridiaceae. The record is from RNAcentral.